This 74-nucleotide transfer RNA is filed under the name Trachylepis sechellensis. RNAcentral describes it as "tRNA-Gln". RNAcentral also lists the same sequence under 1 other name. Lineage: Eukaryota; Metazoa; Chordata; Lepidosauria; Squamata; Scincidae. The record is from RNAcentral.
ACGGGACACGAACCCGCACCAAAAGGCCCAAAACCCUUUGUACUACCAUUAUACUACCUCCUAGUAAAGUCAGC